Onychostoma macrolepis is the source of this 937-nucleotide long non-coding RNA. RefSeq lists it as uncharacterized. The record is from RefSeq and is a predicted model, not a curated record. NCBI's taxonomy places the organism in Eukaryota, Metazoa, Chordata, Actinopteri, Cypriniformes, Cyprinidae. The transcript has 3 exons.
GUCAGUCAAACCUCAUUAUUCCUCCCGCCUCUUUCGUCAAUGAAGUGCAGCGCACAUCUCAGCUUGUUUGCAGUCUGAAGUGUAAGCAUAACAACAACUUCUAGAGUCCUGAAAAAACAUCAGGUCAGGAUGAAACAGUUGUACACUGUGCCUUUUGAGAGGAACUCUGAACAUGUCAAGCAACUCAGGAACCAAUAUGUCCAGAGAGUCAUGGAGAUUGAAGGCAGGCAAACACCCCACAUUUUCAUCUUUGUGGAUGAGGCGGGUUUCAACUUGGCCAAAACACGGCGACGAGGGAGGAAUGUGAUUGGGAAGAGAGCCACAGUGAAUGUCCCGGGCCAGAGGGGUGCCAACAUCACAAUGUGCGCAGCAAUAUCCACUGAUGGACUGCUCUUACACAAACCACUAAUUGGGCCAUAAAACACUGAACGUCUCCUUGCGUUCCUGCAUGAUCUCUAUGGAAGGGUUGUGCUAGGUGAGGAAAGGGAUGCAGAGAGAAGGAAUCAGCCAACAUUUAUAAUUGUAUGGGACAAUGUGGCAUUUCACCACUCCCACCGAGUGGUUUGCGGCCCAUCCCAGAAUGGAGUCACUUUUCCUCCCACCUUACUCUCCAUUCCUCAACCCCAUAGAGGAAUUCUUUUCCUCGUGGAGGUGGGAGGUUUAUGACCACCAUCCACAUGAUCAAAUGUCCCUCCUGGACGCAAUGAAUGCUGGAUGCCUGGACAUAUCAGCAGAAGAUUGCCAGGGAUGGAUCAGGCAUGGCAGAAGAUUCUUUCCUAGGUGUAUUGCCCUAGAUGACAUAAAAUGUGAUGUGGAUGAGAAUCUGUGGCCAAAUGGAGAAGACCGAGUAGAUUAGCGUUACUAUUGUAUCUGUAUCAGUGGAUGGUGUGUAUACAAAUUGUUGUAUUUUGAAAUUACUAAAUUACUUAUAAAAUAA